AUGACUGGAUUAUAUAAGGAAGAGCCUCUGCUGGAAGGCAAGUUCACACUUGGGGCAGAAUAUGCCAGAGUUGAGUAGCGCACCGAGAAGGUCAGGAUCGUCGGGAAAUACGGGACCCGUUAUGGUGCCUCCCUCCGGAAAAUGGUGAAGAAAAUUGAAAUCAACCAGCAUGCCAAGCACACUUGCUCCUUCUGUGGCAAGACCAAGAUGAAGAGACGAGCUCUUGGCAUCUGGCACUGUGGUUCCUGCAUGAAAACGGUGGCCGGCGGGGCCUGGACCUACAACACCACCUCUGCAGUCACAGUGAAGUCUGCCAUCAGGAGGCUGAAGGAACUGAAAGACCAGUAGAAGCCCUACCGUCUGAGAUUCACCUAGCCUGCAAUAAACGGGUUAUUUACGUAAAAAAAAAAAAAAAAAAAAAAAAA
Molecule: RNA transcript, 425 nt
Organism: Mastomys coucha (southern multimammate mouse)
Lineage: Eukaryota; Metazoa; Chordata; Mammalia; Rodentia; Muridae
Gene name: putative 60S ribosomal protein L37a
Exons: 2
Source: RefSeq, a predicted model, not a curated record